GGGGUUGUGGCUCAGUUGGUAGAGUGCUUGCCUAGUAUGUAUGAGGCACUGGGUUUGAUUCUCAGCACCA
This 70-nucleotide transfer RNA is filed under the name Marmota marmota marmota (Alpine marmot). It matches the Rfam family "tRNA". Rfam says of the family: Transfer RNA (tRNA) molecules are approximately 80 nucleotides in length. Their secondary structure includes four short double-helical elements and three loops (D, anti-codon, and T loops). Further hydrogen bonds mediate the characteristic L-shaped molecular structure. tRNAs have two regions of fundamental functional importance: the anti-codon, which is responsible for specific mRNA codon recognition, and the 3' end, to which the tRNAs corresponding amino acid is attached (by aminoacyl-tRNA synthetases). tRNAs cope with the degeneracy of the genetic code in two manners: having more than one tRNA (with a specific anti-codon) for a particular amino acid; and 'wobble' base-pairing, i.e. permitting non-standard base-pairing at the 3rd anti-codon position. The record is from Rfam by way of RNAcentral. RNAcentral also lists the same sequence under 2 other names. Lineage: Eukaryota; Metazoa; Chordata; Mammalia; Rodentia; Sciuridae.